AAUCCAUAGGUUAAUGAGGCGAACCGGGGGAACUGAAACAUCUAAGUACCCCGAGGAAAAGAAAUCAACCGAGAUUCCCCCAGUAGCGGCGAGCGAACGGGGAGGAGCCCAGAGCCUGAAUCAGCAUGUGUGUUAGUGGAAGCGUCUGGAAAGGCGCGCGAUACAGGGUGACAGCCCCGUACACAAAAGCGCAUGUGCUGUGAGCUCGAUGAGUAGGGCGGGACACGUGGUAUCCUGUCUGAAUAUGGGGGGACCAUCCUCCAAGGCUAAAUACUCCUGACUGACCGAUAGUGAACCAGUACCGUGAGGGAAAGGCGAAAAGAACCCCGGCGAGGGGAGUGAAAAAGAACCUGAAACCGUGUACGUACAAGCAGUGGGAGCACCCUUUGGGUGUGACUGCGUACCUUUUGUAUAAUGGGUCAGCGACUUAUAUUCUGUAGCAAGGUUAACCGAAUAGGGGAGCCGGAGGGAAACCGAGUCUUAAUUGGGCGUUAAGUUGCAGGGUAUAGACCCGAAACCCGGUGAUCUAGCCAUGGGCAGGUUGAAGGUUGGGUAACACUAACUGGAGGACCGAACCGACUAAUGUUGAAAAAUUAGCGGAUGACCUGUGGCUGGGGGUGAAAGGCCAAUCAAACCGGGAGAUAGCUGGUUCUCCCCGAAAGCUAUUUAGGUAGCGCCUCGUGAAUUCAUCUCCGGGGGUAGAGCACUGUUUCGGCUAGGGGGCCAUCCCGGCUUACCAACCCGAUGCAAACUGCGAAUACCGGAGAAUGUUAUCACGGGAGACACACGGCGGGUGCUAACGUCCGUCGUGAAGAGGGAAACAACCCAGACCGCCAGCUAAGGUCCCAAAGUCAUGGUUAAGUGGGAAACGAUGUGGGAAGGCCCAGACAGCCAGGAUGUUGGCUUAGAAGCAGCCAUCAUUUAAAGAAAGCGUAAUAGCUCACUGGUCGAGUCGGCCUGCGCGGAAGAUGUAACGGGGCUAAACCAUGCACCGAAGCUGCGGCAGCGACACUGUGUGUUGUUGGGUAGGGGAGCGUUCUGUAAGCCUGUGAAGGUGUGUCGUGAGGCAUGCUGGAGGUAUCAGAAGUGCGAAUGCUGACAUAAGUAACGAUAAAGCGGGUGAAAAGCCCGCUCGCCGGAAGACCAAGGGUUCCUGUCCAACGUUAAUCGGGGCAGGGUGAGUCGACCCCUAAGGCGAGGCCGAAAGGCGUAGUCGAUGGGAAACGGGUUAAUAUUCCCGUACUUGGUGUUACUGCGAAGGGGGGACGGAGAAGGCUAUGUUGGCCGGGCGACGGUUGUCCCGGUUUAA
This 1309-nucleotide ribosomal RNA is filed under the name Salmonella enterica subsp. enterica serovar Enteritidis. Its description in RNAcentral is "partial 23S ribosomal RNA". It matches the Rfam family "Bacterial large subunit ribosomal RNA", at positions 161 to 1515 of the family's 2925-position model. The record is from RNAcentral. Lineage: Bacteria; Pseudomonadati; Pseudomonadota; Gammaproteobacteria; Enterobacterales; Enterobacteriaceae.